Homo sapiens (human) is the source of this 967-nucleotide long non-coding RNA. Ensembl annotates it as long intergenic non-protein coding RNA 1580. The record is from Ensembl. Lineage: Eukaryota; Metazoa; Chordata; Mammalia; Primates; Hominidae.
GGCGUGAGCCACCGCGACGGGCCGCCAUCCCUACCGUUUACAGACAGCGUCCAUCUCACUGGUGGGUCCCUAUGCAGUCCAACUUGCUCCACGUCUGAAUGUCAGUCCUAGAUACAAAGCAGAGAAGUUUAAAGUAGGGAAUGGCUUCUUUUUUCCUUUUACAAAACAUAAUGAUGGUAAGACACAAUAUUGGAGCUGGGAUGAAGGAGAAGUAGAUAUAAAGAUAUGGAGGGGCAUCCCUUAAGGGAUAUAAAUAGUUUCACAGAUGAAAUGCCUAAAGGAGAGAGAGGAGAGACAGAUGAGGAGACAAUUAUCUCAAAGGAGGAAAAUGGUCAAAAGGCAAAGAAUAAUGUGUGUGAACUCUCCGGUGCAUGUAGCCUAAGGAGAUUUGCUAGUUUGAGUCCUGGGAGAUGAGAUGGGGAAGAUGGGCCCAAGCUGCAACAUGAAGGUCCAUGAUGAACAGUUGGCAUCUCCUACAGUGCCUGCCACUUGCUCCUUCUUUCUUCUACCAUUUCUCUUUCUCCUUCAUUGUCUCCUCUGCUUACAGCCAGAAUCCAUAUCCUGUUCCAAGAUGCCUGUUCCAAACUCCCAUCACUAAAGUUUAGGUAAUGUUCAAUGCAGCCAAGGGAGCUAAGGUAAUGAACAAAACAGAGAAGUUCCUACCCUCCCUGAUGUUCAUUCUAGCAAAUGGAGACAGAUGAUAGAAACUGCACAUCAUUGAGCAAGAGGGACACCAUGGAUAAUGGAAAGAUCUACGGCAAGGCUGGCUGUCUGCCCUGUCUAAGGAGGACGUACUGGACCAUCCUGCUCUGCACAUCCAGAUGUGUCCAUGAAUACAUCCAUAAAACGAUGGCCUGUGGAAUCCUAUAGGAAAAUGAUCCAGAGCCUGGGCGGUCAGAAGGAACAAACACUUGAUUUACAAAAUAAAUCUUCUAUGUUUAUGUUUUAAAGACACACAGAGGAAAAA